Molecule: unclassified non-coding RNA, 278 nt
Filed under: Hevea brasiliensis (rubber tree)
Lineage: Eukaryota; Viridiplantae; Streptophyta; Magnoliopsida; Malpighiales; Euphorbiaceae
Source: RNAcentral
GUUGCAACAUCAAGCUGAAAGGUAAGGCACAAAGUCAAUAAUUUUAUUAAAAAAAAAAAGACACCAGCAAUAAUAAUAAAGCAAAAACUCAUUUUAAAAAUGAUAAUACUUCAGAUACCUACCUAUUCACAGAGAAAGAAACUGUAAAAUUAAAGCAGUUUAACAAUAACAACAGAUGAUUGAUCUCCACAAAGCAAUUUCAGUCAUCAAAUAACAAAUAUAAGAAAACAAGAAUUUAACUCAGAUCAGGAGGUAUUUGCAAGAUGGGGAAAGAAAAA